UGCGUAGGCGGCAGGGCAAGUGAGGCGUGAAAGCCCCUGGCUAAACUAGGGGAGGACAUCUCAGACUGCCCAGCUAGAGUGAAACAGAGGAGCGCGGAAUUCGGGGUGUAGCGGUGAAAUGUGUAGAGAUCCCGAGGAACACCAGUGGUGCAAACGGCGCUCUGGGUUUGAACUGACGCUGAGGCACGAAAGCUUGGGGAGCGAACGGGAUUAGAGACCCCGGUAGUCCAAGCCGUAAACGAUGUCAACUGGGUGUUUGGGACGGGAAACCGGACUGGGUGCCGAAGCUAACGCGGUAAGUUGACCGCCUGGGGAGUACGGUCGCAAGGCUAAA
This 334-nucleotide ribosomal RNA is filed under the name uncultured Anaerolinea sp. RNAcentral's name for it is "bacterial SSU rRNA". It matches the Rfam family "Bacterial small subunit ribosomal RNA", at positions 568 to 898 of the family's 1533-position model. Lineage: Bacteria; Bacillati; Chloroflexota; Anaerolineae; Anaerolineales; Anaerolineaceae. The record is from RNAcentral.